UGGGGGAUAUUGCACAAUGGGCGAAAGCCUGAUGCAGCGACGCCGCGUGGGGGAUGAAGGCUUUCGGGUUGUAAACCUCUUUCGCUAUCGAACAAGGCCCGCUUAGGGUGGGUUGAGGGUAGGUGGAGAAGAAGCGCCGGCUAACUACGUGCCAGCAGCCGCGGUAAUACGUAGGGCGCGAGCGUGGUCCGGAAUUAUUGGGCGUAAAGGGCUUGUAGGCGGCUUGUUGCGCCUGCUGUGAAAACGCGGGGCUUAACUUCGCGCGCGCAGUGGGUACGGGCAGGCUUGAGUGUGGUAGGGGUGACUGGAAUUCCAGGUGUAGCGGUGGAAUGCGCAGAUAUCUGGAGGAACACCGAUGGCGAAGGCAGGUCACUGGGCCAUUACUGACGCUGAGGAGCGAAAGCAUGGGUAGCGAACAGG
Molecule: ribosomal RNA, 420 nt
Filed under: bacterium
Lineage: Bacteria
Description: partial 16S ribosomal RNA
Rfam family: Bacterial small subunit ribosomal RNA
Source: RNAcentral